Molecule: ribosomal RNA, 500 nt
Filed under: uncultured bacterium
Lineage: Bacteria
Description: partial 16S ribosomal RNA
Rfam family: Bacterial small subunit ribosomal RNA
Source: RNAcentral
GACGAACGCUGGCGGCGUGCCUAAUACAUGCAAGUCGAGCGGACUGAUUAAGAGCUUGCUCUUAUGACGUUAGCGGCGGACGGGUGAGUAACACGUGGGCAACCUGCCCUGUAGAUCGGGAUAACACCGAGAAAUCGGUGCUAAUACCGGGUAAUAUCUGAGAUCACAUGAUCUUAGGUUAAAAGAUGGCUCCGGCUAUCACUACAGGAUGGGCCCGCGGCGCAUUAGCUGGUUGGUAAGGUAAUGGCUUACCAAGGCGACGAUGCGUAGCCGACCUGAGAGGGUGAUCGGCCACACUGGGACUGAGACACGGCCCAGACUCCUACGGGAGGCAGCAGUAGGGAAUCUUCCGCAAUGGACGAAAGUCUGACGGAGCAACGCCGCGUGAGUGAUGAAGGGUUUCGGCUCGUAAAGCUCUGUUGUUAGGGAAGAAACAGUACCGAACGAACUAGGUCGGUACCUUGACGGUACCUAACCAGAAAGCCACGGCUAACUACGUG